GCUAGUGUUGUUUUCAAAACCCCUUAUGCUACCAGUUCUGGAUGCUUGUCUUAUAGCCUGAAAGUGCUCGAUUGAUGCCCACCGGAAGUGCUCGAUUUCAUGAAGAUCAAAAUUUGGUUCAUUUUUGGUAUGGUUCCCUCAUUUAAAAAAUUUACAGGCACGCUUCUUCUUCCAACAACUUAUAUCAGGUGUUAGUUAUUGUCAUGCAAUGAGAAAGUUUGAUUGGUGUUAGCAAAAUGACCCUUAUACGGUUGGAGAACGUUGUUAUGUGCUUCAUUUUCUCCCCACACUCGCAGACAUUUGCAGCGCAAUGACAGAGGGUGUCGCGGUCGCCAAGUUGUGGAGGAUGAGAUGCAUCCCUAAUACUACAGAUACAAGAGGUUCUUGUGAUUAAUGUCAGAAUGUUCACAGACCGCUGUCCGCUGUUUGGAUACGAGAAUUCUGUUGAUGUACUUCAAAUUUAUAUUGGUGAUGAUUGAAUUGAUGAGUAUGCUUUAAGGUUUUUGGAAAGACACUUCAAAGGAUUGUGAUUCUUGUUUCUAGAGUUCCAAAGGAGACAAGCUUCCUACAAGUUCCUUGCAAUAUCCAUUUGAGGCAAGCCAUGAAGAGGGCAAAUGAAUAUGGUGCAGUAGAAAUUUGGAUGAAUGAGAGAGUAUGAAGAGCUUGUGCAAACAACUGUGCAUAUUUUGUUUAUGGCUUUCUUGAGAGCUCCACUAUGAAGGCUGCUGAAUACUGAUUCAUAUGGCAGUUUGAGGGGAUUCCACCUUAUCUAAUUUGAUGCAGAGUAGAGAGCUUCCAAUGUAGAAACAUUGAUUUUGGCGGUAAGGUCAAAGACUUGCCCAAGGGAUUGGAAAGAGAAAAUAGAAUAAUUCAAACAAUUGUGAGGGAGCUCUUAUUUGCAUUGGGACGUAUGAUUUUCAUGAUCACAUGCAAAUUGGGAGAGGUUCCUUAAAAGGGGUGAUUUUUAAGUAUAAGGCAAUUUCAGAUUCCUAACUAAUUUAUGGAAAGAAUAAAUGGAUAGAGAUUGUCGACAUUAGGAUACUGUAACCAAUAGGUAGAAUAGUUGUCAUUAGACGGUGUUGAAUAAAAUGUUGGUGGGAUGAGGUGCUGCCAUGGAAGAGGAGGCGAUCAGUAGUGGAAGGACAGAAAUCGUGCUUGCUCUGGAUAGAACUCACCGAAGAUAUCACCUGCAAUGCCCAUUCUUUAUUUAUCGAUAUACUGCACCAGAACAGUACAUCAUGAGCACACAAAUCUCAUAUGUAUCUUCAGCCCCAGUUGUAAAACUGCAUUGUCCCCAAUCUUAUGGCAGGAUUUGAUAUUUAUAGUGCUGGACUGCUGGUCUAAUCUUUCUUCAAAUGGUGGAAAAGAGAUAAGGAGCGGAACAAGAGAAGAGUACUCAAUAGAGAAAAAAUCAUAAAAAGUAUGACACAAUUGUAUUGGCAGGUGAGUGAGAAAAUUAAAAAGAAAAAGUAAGAUUCUUAUGUUGAAUAUUCACUAGUUUGCCAUUUUCCCCAUUUAGUUAAUUGUUCUCUUAUUUUCUCCGUUUACAACUGUAUUGUUUGUUAUAGUACGUCUGUAUUAGGAGUUCUCAUUUUAAUCUCACACGUUGUUACAUCUUCUAGUGUGGUUUUCUUUUGUGAAAAGGUGGAAAAGAGAUAAGGAGUGGAACAAGAGAAGAGUACUCAAUAGAGAAAAAAUCAUAAAAAGUAUGACACAAUUGUAUUGGCAGGUGAGUGAGAAAAUUAAAAAGAAAAAGUAAGAUUCUCAUGUUGAAUAUUCACUAGUUUGCCAUUUUCCCCAUUUAGUUAAUUGUUCUCUUAUUUUCUCCUUUUACAAUUGUAUUGUUUGUUAUAGUACGUCUGUAUUAGGAGUUCUCAUUGUAAUUUUUCUUUUUAGAUUGUAUCUAGGAUCAAAUCUGUGUACUUUGUAGUUCCUUUGUAUUAGGAUAUAGUUUUGUACUUUUCUUUUUCUCUUGUAAGUGGACUUUGGACAUUCUUUGGGACCCUUUGGUUCAUCCUUACAUAUUUGCUUUGCUUGUUUGUGCAUCAUUAUAAAUAGGAUCUUUUGGAUGAUCCUCUAGGCUAGAUUUAGGACCCUUUGGAGUGGUUCAUCUUACAUAUUUGCUUACCUUUUGCUUUUUUGUCUGCAUCAUAUCUUCUUGUGAUGGCUAGUUGUUUGGGAGCAAUUCUUCACUUUCCCCUAUAUCGAACAUAUUCA
Long non-coding RNA from Lotus japonicus, 2217 nucleotides. RefSeq lists it as uncharacterized. Lineage: Eukaryota; Viridiplantae; Streptophyta; Magnoliopsida; Fabales; Fabaceae. The record is from RefSeq and is a predicted model, not a curated record. The transcript has 11 exons.